GUGAGUAACACGUGGAUAACCUACCUAUAAGACUGGGAUAACUUCGGGAAACCGGAGCUAAUACCGGAUAAUAUUUUGAACCGCAUGGUUCAAAAGUGAAAGACGGUCUUGCUGUCACUUAUAGAUGGAUCCGCGCUGCAUUAGCUAGUUGGUAAGGUAACGGCUUACCAAGGCAACGAUGCAUAGCCGACCUGAGAGGGUGAUCGGCCACACUGAACUGAGACACGGUCCAG
This 233-nucleotide ribosomal RNA is filed under the name uncultured Staphylococcus sp. RNAcentral's name for it is "partial 16S ribosomal RNA". It matches the Rfam family "Bacterial small subunit ribosomal RNA", at positions 106 to 334 of the family's 1533-position model. The record is from RNAcentral. Lineage: Bacteria; Bacillati; Bacillota; Bacilli; Caryophanales; Staphylococcaceae.